Molecule: long non-coding RNA, 428 nt
Filed under: Ictidomys tridecemlineatus (thirteen-lined ground squirrel)
Lineage: Eukaryota; Metazoa; Chordata; Mammalia; Rodentia; Sciuridae
Description: lncRNA (ENSSTOG00000031828.1)
Source: RNAcentral
GAAUGUGGUUUUUAUGUUUUUUUUUUCUCUUUCUCUCAGGGAAUAGGAAGUUGUCUGUCCUUUUGUAGCAAGAGAGACCAUGAACCAACCAUAAGAUGGAAAUAGCAUCAGUAAAUCUUGUAGCUGGGAGAUCCUCGUGAUGCCUUUCUAAUGUCUAUUAAUAAACGAGGAGUUUCUGUGUUGUGAGAACGAGCUGUACCUGAAGGGAGUAACGUGUUCUCGAAAGGCAUUGACUCUCAUAUAUGUGAAGAGCACAUAUUCUUAUUCAGAGCUGUUUCAGCAGAACCUGAAGCAAUACAUGCUGUGGACAUCUACUGAAUACACGUGAAAUUCCUGUCGAACGAGGGAAUCAAAAAUCGUACACACUGGCUGGCAAAUGGAGGAGAGGCUGAAGUGGUUUCUUAGGGAAAGACACUGGAGACACCACU